CGAAUUGAAUGUCCAACACAUAGUACGCAGAAGAACACAUAAAAGAAAGCUAUUUACCAUUCUUUCUACAAGUCAAGAUAAUAUUAGUUAUGAGUUACACAAAGAACUCACCCAGGAUGGCAAUCAGUAAAUCUCCAUUUGAGAUGACCUGCAGAUACAUCUAGAGCCAAAACAUCACCACUGCCUGUACCUAAAACCAAUAAUGAAGUUCCAAGCUUCCUUUUUUU
Molecule: long non-coding RNA, 227 nt
Filed under: Nicotiana benthamiana
Lineage: Eukaryota; Viridiplantae; Streptophyta; Magnoliopsida; Solanales; Solanaceae
Description: long non-coding RNA (NBEN_LNC001442)
Source: RNAcentral